Molecule: long non-coding RNA, 1165 nt
Filed under: Anser brachyrhynchus (Pink-footed goose)
Lineage: Eukaryota; Metazoa; Chordata; Aves; Anseriformes; Anatidae
Description: lncRNA (ENSABRG00000022231.1)
Source: RNAcentral
GUUUGUCCCGCGUACCCGGCAUGGGGUCUUGAGCUCCGUAAGGGAGGAAUCAGCCUCCAGCUGCAGCAGGGUGUGCUUGCAAGUGCUUGCUUGUGUGUGGCAGGGCAGCAAUAAUCCUGCUCUGUUCUUUCCAUGUAAAUGCAAAGAAAUAUACUUUGCUGUUUCUACGUGGCGAUUUUAAAUUGUGCAGGGUCACAAGGCAGUGAAAGGCAGUGUAUGCAUGCCCAGGCAUUAAUGAAGAGUCUAGUCCAUUGUAUUUUAUUGAAAGCCCAAGCGAAGUUUCGCCUUGUUAAGGCUUUGUUUUUCUUUGCAUCCGCGUUCUAUUUACCCGUCCCAGCAAUGGUGUCAGUGCUGGUCCCCACGGUUGCUGACUGUGGGGAGAUGCUUGGCUGGCCUUGGGGAGCAGGGAGAGGCGUAUCUCAGCCUGAAGGAGUUUGAAAGCUAAGGUAAAUAUUUCUGGAUGAAGAGAAGAAGGAUGAAACCUCCAGAGACUCUGACACCAAGAUUAAUGGCUGAAAAAAAAAAUUGCCUUCCCCAGAUGAUGCAGGACACUGACUCUCCCCUUCAUUGUCUUCAUUACUCUGCUGAGUGAAGUAGAAGUAACUGAAAUUUCUCUUCUCUCACUUCUUUUUUUUUUUCUUUUUUUUCCCCUAACUAAACAGGCUUUUGAAUAAUAUAGAAGCAUAUUUACCAAUAAGAUCAUUUUUUGUAAUUUAUCAAGGGAUCUUUUAUGAGGAAAUUCCCAAACUGGAAAUCACAUUCAGUCCCCUUCUCAGGUUCUGGCCUCCCCCUCAGGAAUUUUGAUUUUAAUCUGGGCCAAGUGCACAUAAAUGAGAGAAAGAAUAAGUAAGGCUUGGAAAAUGAGACAUUGAAAAGAUAUAAAAAAGCACCAAACUGAGCAAAACUGAAACACGCUCCUUGGACAAACUGCAACCCUGCGACAUGGUAAAACUGCAGGGCUUCAACCCAGUGUCUUCAACCCAGGCUGGUUACGUUUUGGGCUUGGGGGCGGCAGUGAAGAUUAUUUUCUGUAUGUAUAUCUUUCUUUCUACUCUCUUCUGUUUUUUCUUUAUGGCAUAAGCAAAUAGCACUUGUUUGUUUGCUGCCAAGCUAUUGUAAUUUGUCUCUCAGAAUUGGAAAGUUACCAGAAAUUUGUGUGCAAAAA